GGAGAGUUGCCAGAGCGGUCGAAUGGGGCACCCUGCUAAGGUGUUAGGCGAGCAAUCGCCUCGAGGGUUCGAAUCCCUCACUCUCCG
Molecule: transfer RNA, 87 nt
Filed under: Parcubacteria group bacterium
Lineage: Bacteria
Description: tRNA-Ser
Rfam family: tRNA
About the family: Transfer RNA (tRNA) molecules are approximately 80 nucleotides in length. Their secondary structure includes four short double-helical elements and three loops (D, anti-codon, and T loops). Further hydrogen bonds mediate the characteristic L-shaped molecular structure. tRNAs have two regions of fundamental functional importance: the anti-codon, which is responsible for specific mRNA codon recognition, and the 3' end, to which the tRNAs corresponding amino acid is attached (by aminoacyl-tRNA synthetases). tRNAs cope with the degeneracy of the genetic code in two manners: having more than one tRNA (with a specific anti-codon) for a particular amino acid; and 'wobble' base-pairing, i.e. permitting non-standard base-pairing at the 3rd anti-codon position.
Source: RNAcentral